This 253-nucleotide ribosomal RNA is filed under the name uncultured bacterium. Its description in RNAcentral is "partial 16S ribosomal RNA". It matches the Rfam family "Bacterial small subunit ribosomal RNA", at positions 524 to 776 of the family's 1533-position model. The record is from RNAcentral.
UACAGAGGUCCCAAGCGUUGUUCGGAUUCACUGGGCGUAAAGGGUGCGUAGGCGGUUUGACAAGUCUGAUGUGAAAUCUCGGAGCUCAACUCCGAAACUGCAAUGGAUACUGACGGGCUAGAGGAUUGGAGGGGGGACUGGAAUUCUCGGUGUAGCAGUGAAAUGCGUAGAGAUCGAGAGGAACACUGGUGGCGAAGGAGAGUCCCGGGACAAUACCUGACGUUGAGGCACGAAAGCUAGGGGAGCAAACAGG